Molecule: ribosomal RNA, 468 nt
Filed under: uncultured bacterium
Lineage: Bacteria
Description: partial 16S ribosomal RNA
Rfam family: Bacterial small subunit ribosomal RNA
Source: RNAcentral
GACGAACGCUGGCGGCGUGCUUAACACAUGCCAGUCGAACGGAAAGGCCCUGCUUUUGUGGGGUGCUCGAGUGGCGAACGGGUGAGUAACACGUGAGUAACCUGCCCUUGACUUUGGGAUAACUUCAGGAAACUGGGGCUAAUACCGGAUAGGAGCUCCUGCUGCUUGGUGGGGGUUGGAAAGUUUCGGCGGUUGGGGAUGGACUCGCGGCUUAUCAGCUUGUUGGUGGGGUAGUGGCUUACCAAGGCUUUGACGGGUCGCCGGCCUGAGAGGGUGACCGGCCACAUUGGGACUGAGAUACGGCCCAGACUCCUACGGGGGGCAGCAGUGGGGAAUAUUGCACAAUGGGCGGAAGCCUGAUGCAGGAACGCCGGGUGCGGGAUGACGGCCUUCGGGUUGUAAACCGCUUUCGCCUGGGACGAAGCGUGAGUGACGGUAAUGGGUAAAGAAGCACCGGCUAACUACGUG